AAAUUUGAAAAAUCGGAACCCUAUAAAAACUAAAGCCAGAAAAUAUGAAUUUGACUACAAAAACUUACAUGAAUUUUUACACAAAGAUUGAAGAAGUCGACAAGUGGUCCAGCAUCGAUAGUUUUCAGGAAUGUCAACAAUUUGUUAGUAAAUUGGCUGUUGUCAAUGAUGUCGCGGAACGUGGUGUAGCGCUAAUUGAAGAUUACAAUCAAUGCCUUACUAAAGACGAAGAACAGCUCCAAUAUUUAUUACUAGUUAUUAGUGAGUAUCGGAAAAAAUUCCCUAAUUGCAAUAAAAGUACGUUAAUUGAAUGAU
Molecule: long non-coding RNA, 315 nt
Organism: Cotesia glomerata
Lineage: Eukaryota; Metazoa; Arthropoda; Insecta; Hymenoptera; Braconidae
Exons: 2
Source: RefSeq, a predicted model, not a curated record